RNAcentral lists this unclassified non-coding RNA (2340 nucleotides) under Hevea brasiliensis (rubber tree). Lineage: Eukaryota; Viridiplantae; Streptophyta; Magnoliopsida; Malpighiales; Euphorbiaceae. The record is from RNAcentral.
AGCUUGCAAAAGAUGCGUAUACACCUGAUCUGAUUGCAGCAUCUGACUGCAUGCUGGGAAAAAUUGGAUAUGGUACUUGCAGUGAAGCCCUUGCGUACAAGUUACCAUUUGUCUUUGUACGAAGAGAUUAUUUCAAUGAAGAACCCUUUUUGAGAAAUAUGCUUGAGUAUUAUCAGAGUGGUGUUGAGAUGAUUAGGAGAGAUUUACUUACUGGUCAUUGGAAACCUUACCUUGAACGUGCAGUUAGUUUGAAACCAUGUUACGAGGGUGGCGUAAAUGGUGGCGAGGUGGCAGCUCAUAUAUUACAGGAGACUGCUAUUGGGAAAAACUAUACUUCCGAUAAGUUAAGUGGGUCAAGGAGAUUGCGGGAUGCCAUAGUUCUUGGGUAUCAAUUACAGAGGGUGGCUGGACGAGAUAUCAGCAUUCCAGAAUGGUAUGCAAAUGCUGAAAAUGAACUUAGCAAGUCUACUGGGUCACCAGUUGCACAUACAAAUGAGGAUGGACUACCAACAAGCGCUUGGACUGGAGAUUUUGAGAUUCUUCAUGGAGAUCUUCAAGGUCUUUCAGAUACCACGAGUUUCUUAAAGAGUUUAUUAGAGCUAGAUUCUGUAUAUGACUCUGAAAAGAAUACUGAGAAGCUCCAGAUGCGGGAGCAUAAGGCUGCUGCAGGACUCUUUAAUUGGGAGGAACAUAUUUUUGUAACAAGAGCACCUGGCAGGCUGGAUGUAAUGGGAGGGAUUGCUGAUUAUUCAGGAAGUCUUGUCUUGCAGAUGCCCAUAAGAGAAGCUUGCCAUGUUGCUGUUCAAAGGAAUCAUCCAAGCAAACACAGGCUUUGGAAACAUGCUGAGGCUCGGCAAAAUGCAAAAGGACAAGGACCCACUCCUGUUCUGCAAAUUGUAUCUUAUGGUUCAGAGUUAAGCAAUCGUGGCCCAACUUUUGACAUGGAUUUAUCUGAUUUUAUGGAGGGCAACCAGCCAAUUUCAUAUGAGAAGGCAAGGAAAUAUUUUGCCCAAGACCCAUCACAAAAGUGGGCGGCUUAUGUUGCAGGGUCAAUUCUUGUUUUGAUGAGAGAACUAGGUGUACGCUUUGAGGAUAGUAUUAGCAUGCUGGUUUCUUCUGCAGUUCCAGAAGGCAAAGGUGUAUCUUCUUCUGCCUCUGUGGAGGUUGCUAGCAUGUCUGCUGUGGCUGCUGCUCAUGGAUUAAACAUAAGCCCAAGGGAUAUGGCAUUGCUUUGCCAGAAGGUGGAGAAUCACAUUGUUGGAGCUCCAUGUGGUGUAAUGGAUCAGAUGACUUCAGUAUGUGGUGAAGCCAACAAACUUCUUGCAAUGGUGUGCCAGCCUGCUGAAGUAAUUGGUCUUGUGGAAAUUCCUAGCCAUAUUCGAUUCUGGGGGAUUGAUUCAGGGAUACGACACAGCGUUGGCGGUGCAGACUAUGGAUCUGUAAGAAUUGGUGCCUUCAUGGGUCGAAAGAUGAUAAAGUCAAUGGCAUCUGCUAUUUUGUCUAGGUCAUUGCCCAGCAUUAAUGGAUCAAUCCUUGAUGAAUUGGAGGACUAUGGUUCUGAACUACUGAAAAAUGAAUCUUCCUUAGAUUACUUAUGCAACUUGUCACCACACAGAUAUGAAGCUCUUUACCAUAAAAUGCUUCCUGAAUCCAUUCAUGGUGAGGCAUUUUUGGAGAAGUAUGCUGAUCACAAUGAUGCUGUAACAGUAAUUGAUCAGAAGCGCACUUACAUGGUGAGAGCACCUGCUAAACAUCCUAUCUAUGAAAACUUCCGGGUCAAGGCUUUCAAAGCAUUGCUAUCAUCUGCAACUUCAGAUGAGCAACUUACUGCUCUUGGUGAAUUGCUGUAUCAGUGUCAUUACAGCUAUAGUGCGUGUGGACUUGGCACUGAUGGGACGGAUAGGCUUGUGCACUUGGUACAAGAAAAGCAACAUAGUAAAUCCUCUAAAUCUCAUGAUGGGACACUCUAUGGAGCAAAAAUAACUGGUGGGGGAUCAGGCGGAACAGUUUGUGUGAUUGGUAGGAACUGUCUAAGGAGCAGCCAACAAAUUAUUGAGAUUCAGCAGAAGUACAAAGGCGCAACGGGCUAUUUGCCAUUUAUUUUUGAGGGCUCAUCGCCAGGGGCAGCAAAGUUUGGAUAUCUGAGAAUUCGCCGGCGCCUCUCAUUUUGUUAAAUUAGAAUUUGUGGUUUCCCAACUUAGGUAUUUCUCCGGUUACUUUGAACGGACUUGAAUAAUAAUUGUGUCUUGAAAUGUGAUGAUUUUUGCCAAUAGCUUGACAAUUUCUAGACCUAAAGCGUAGGAAAAGUAGAUUGUUAUUUAGCCACAAUAAUUGAAUUCA